This 253-nucleotide ribosomal RNA is filed under the name uncultured bacterium. Its description in RNAcentral is "partial 16S ribosomal RNA". It matches the Rfam family "Bacterial small subunit ribosomal RNA", at positions 524 to 776 of the family's 1533-position model. The record is from RNAcentral.
UACGUAGGGUGCAAGCGUUGUCCGGAAUUAUUGGGCGUAAAGAGCUCGUAGGCGGCCUGUCGCGUCGGAUGUGAAAGCCCGGGGCUUAACCCCGGGUCUGCAUUCGAUACGGGCAGGCUAGAGUGUGGUAGGGGAGAUCGGAAUUCCUGGUGUAGCGGUGAAAUGCGCAGAUAUCAGGAGGAACACCGGUGGCGAAGGCGGAUCUCUGGGCCAUUACUGACGCUGAGGAGCGAAAGCGUGGGGAGCGAACAGG